GUCUGCUCGCUAUAAAGAGCAGUCUGGCCUGCCCACUGAUGAAAAAUUUAAAGGCCGCGGUACCCUAACCGUGCGAAGGUAGCAUAAUAAUUAGUCUUUUAAUUGAAGACUGGAAUGAAAGGUCGGACAAGAAGCAAACUGUCUCAGCUUUAUUUAUCGAAAUUAACUUCUAAGUGAAAAGGCUUAGAUAAAUUUGAAGGACGACAAGACCCUAUAAAACUUUAUACUUAAAGCAUACUCUCCGAACUAUUUGUGAAAACUAGAUUAUGCCUUAAAGUAUUGCGUUGGGGAGACGAAAGUAUAACUUGUAACUGCAUUAACCUUAAACAAUAAUUUCUGAAUUCAUUGAUCCUUUUUAGAUUAUAAGAAAAAGUUACUUUAGGGAUAACAGCGUUAUUUUUUUUGAGAGUCCUUAUCGACAAAAAAGUUUGCGACCUCGAUGUUGAAUUAAAAUUACCUAACAAUGCAGCAGUUGUAUAGGUAGGUCUGUUCGACCUUUAAAAUUUUACAUGAUUUGAGUUCAAACCGGCGUAAG
RNAcentral lists this ribosomal RNA (535 nucleotides) under Corallianassa borradailei. Its description in RNAcentral is "partial large subunit ribosomal RNA". It matches the Rfam family "Bacterial large subunit ribosomal RNA", at positions 1819 to 2625 of the family's 2925-position model. Lineage: Eukaryota; Metazoa; Arthropoda; Malacostraca; Decapoda; Callianassidae. The record is from RNAcentral.